RNAcentral lists this ribosomal RNA (497 nucleotides) under uncultured bacterium. RNAcentral's name for it is "partial 16S ribosomal RNA". It matches the Rfam family "Bacterial small subunit ribosomal RNA", at positions 28 to 507 of the family's 1533-position model. The record is from RNAcentral.
GAUGAACGCUGGCGGCGUGCCUAAUACAUGCAAGUCUAGCGCACGGCCGUGCAGCUUGAUUUUCUGCUGUUAGCGGCGGUCGGGUGAGUGACACGUGGAUAACCUACCUAUAAGACUGGGAUACCUUCGGGAAACCGGAGCUAAUACCGGAUCAUAUUUUGUACCGCAUGGUUUAAAAGUGAGAGACGGUGUUGGUGACACUUAUAGAUGGUUCCCCUGUGGAUUAGGUAGUUGGUAAGGUAACGGCUUACCGAGGCAACGAUGCAUAGCCGACCUGGGGAGGUGAUCGGCCAGACCGGAGCGGGGAGACGGUCCCGAGGCGAACGAGAGGCAGCAGUUAGGCAUCUGCGGCGAUGGGGGAAAGCCUAUUGGAGCAAGGGCGCGUGAGUGAUGAAGGUAUUCGGAGCGUAAAACGCUGUUAUUAGGGAUGAACAGAUGUGUAAGUAACGAAGCACAACAUGACGGUACCUGAAGAGAAAGCCACGGCUAAAUACGUG